UACAGAGGUCCCGAGCGUUGUUCGGAUUCAUUGGGCGUAAAGGGUGCGUAGGUGGCAUGGUAAGUCGGGUGUGAAAUCUCAGGGCUCAACCCUGAAACUGCACUCGAUACUGCCGUGCUCGAGCACUGGAGAGGAGACUGGAAUUUACGGUGUAGCAGUGAAAUGCGUAGAUAUCGUAAGGAAGACCGGUGGCGAAAGCUAGUCUCUGGACAGUCGCUGACACUGAGGCACGAAGGCCAGGGGAGCAAACGGG
RNAcentral lists this ribosomal RNA (253 nucleotides) under uncultured bacterium. RNAcentral describes it as "partial 16S ribosomal RNA". It matches the Rfam family "Bacterial small subunit ribosomal RNA", at positions 524 to 776 of the family's 1533-position model. The record is from RNAcentral.